CUUCGAUGUCGGCUCUUCCUA
Molecule: non-coding RNA, 21 nt
Filed under: Arabidopsis thaliana (thale cress)
Lineage: Eukaryota; Viridiplantae; Streptophyta; Magnoliopsida; Brassicales; Brassicaceae
Also listed under: 2 other names
Source: RNAcentral